RNAcentral lists this ribosomal RNA (468 nucleotides) under uncultured bacterium. Its description in RNAcentral is "partial 16S ribosomal RNA". It matches the Rfam family "Bacterial small subunit ribosomal RNA", at positions 28 to 507 of the family's 1533-position model. The record is from RNAcentral.
GACGAACGCUGGCGGCGCGCCUAACACAUGCAAGUCGAACGGAGCUGAGAGAAGCUUACUUUUCUUAGCUUAGUGGCGAACGGGUGAGUAACGCGUGAGUAACCUGCCCUGGAGUGGGGGACAACAGUUGGAAACGACUGCUAAUACCGCAUAAGCCCACGAUCCGGCAUCGGAUUGAGGGAAAAGGAUUUAUUCGCUUCAGGAUGGACUCGCGUCCAAUUAGCUAGUUGGUGAGGUAACGGCCCACCAAGGCGACGAUUGGUAGCCGGACUGAGAGGUUGAACGGCCACAUUGGGACUGAGACACGGCCCAGACUCCUACGGGAGGCAGCAGUGGGGGAUAUUGCACAAUGGGGGAAACCCUGAUGCAGCGACGCCGCGUGGAGGAAGAAGGUUUUCGGAUUGUAAACUCCUGUCGUUAGGGACGAUAAUGACGGUACCUAACAAGAAAGCACCGGCUAACUACGUG